This 123-nucleotide small RNA is filed under the name Marmota monax (woodchuck). The record is from RNAcentral. Lineage: Eukaryota; Metazoa; Chordata; Mammalia; Rodentia; Sciuridae.
GCCAGGCACGGUGGCGCACACCUGUCAUCCCAGCAGCUCAGGAGGCUGAGGCAGGAGGAUAGCAAGUUCAAAGCCAGCCUCUGCUUAGCGAGGUCCUAGCAACUUAGCUAGACCCUGUCUCAA